This 1189-nucleotide long non-coding RNA is filed under the name Lonchura striata (white-rumped munia). Its description in RNAcentral is "domestica (Bengalese finch) lncRNA (ENSLSDG00000009686.1)". The record is from RNAcentral. Lineage: Eukaryota; Metazoa; Chordata; Aves; Passeriformes; Estrildidae.
UGGGUCCCUUCCAAAUUCGUCCGGCCGUAUGUCCCCAAAGUCCAAAAACGCGAGCCAGAUGGUCCUCAGGUUGGGCACGCCGCCCUCCGGCGGCGGAGAAGGUCCCUUUCCCCCAUUCCCAAGGCUCCCGAGCCCCUCUCACCUAGUCCCCCCUUACCUCUUUGUGGCUCCGCAGAGUCCCUAUUCCUUUACCAUAUAGACCUCCCCAAAUUUGAUUAUUAAUUUGUGUUUUAGUUAUUUUCCAGACACGCGCACCACCAGACCACCCAGCAUGCUUCCAUCUCUAAGCCUCAUCCUUCUGGGCCUCACCAUCGCCCCGAGACCCCUGCAAGCCUGGAUCGUACCACAGCCGCCAGCAAAUGUUUGGACCACCCUUGCCAAAUCCCUUAAUCAAGACCAUUUAUGUUUAUCCACUACCUCUGCUGCCAACCCCUUUCUGUCCUGUCUCGUGGGGAUCCCAUACCCUAUAAUUAAGUUUCCUUUCACCCUCCCUUUAAACCCCUCCGCCCUCCACAUAAAAAAUGACACCAACCCGUUUAUCUCCCAACCCCUAAACCCACCAGAUGCGUGGAGGGCGUGGGUCAGAACCUUCCCGGUUAUGGCAAAAGAGCCCGAAGAACUUGAACUACUCGGCUCUUCCCUUGCCUAUACCUGCUUCCGUUUCCUUGAUUAUAACCCAUAUGUCCAUCCCAAAAGAAUAAUCAAACAAACAAUCACAGAAUACCAAGAUAAAAACUGGUGCAAAAAAGUGAUCUAUAUCUCAGACUUUUCAACCCCUGACAACAAGCCCCAUUCCCUUCCUAAGGGUGUGUUUUUAAUUUGUGGAAAUCAAGCUUGGGCAGGCAUCCCCCCUCACCUGGUCGGAGGGCCAUGCGCAUUCGGACAGCUGAGCUUGUUUACACCCAACAAAACUCACAUAGCACAUUGGAAACAACUAAAUCAAACAGGUCAAUUGGCUCGCCAAAAAAGAGAUACUGGGCUCACAGAUUGGGACGAAAAUUGUAAUGAUGAGGUCACCCAUUGGGCAAAAGCAAAGAGCGUUGCUACCAUUGCAUUUUUACCAUGGAUAGGAAUCGCUCAAGCAUUCAAUGAAUUGGCUGGUCUUGAAUGCUGGGUAGCUAAACAAGCCAACCUUACGUCAGCUGCUCUAAGCAACCUCCUAGCAGAUGAGGAAGUCACGAGACAGGCA